This 301-nucleotide ribosomal RNA is filed under the name uncultured bacterium. Its description in RNAcentral is "partial 16S ribosomal RNA". It matches the Rfam family "Bacterial small subunit ribosomal RNA", at positions 509 to 809 of the family's 1533-position model. The record is from RNAcentral.
CAGUCGCCGCGGGAAUACGGAGGAUCCAAGCGUUAUCCGGAAUCAUUGGGUUUAAAGGGUCCGUAGGCGGUCUUGUAAGUCAGUGGUGAAAGCCCAUCGCUCAACGGUGGAACGGCCAUUGAUACUGCAGGACUUGAAUUAUUGGGAAGUAACUAGAAUAUGUAGUGUAGCGGUGAAAUGCUUAGAGAUUACAUGGAAUACCAAUUGCGAAGGCAGGUUACUACCAAUUGAUUGACGCUGAUGGACGAAAGCGUGGGUAGCGAACAGGAUUAGAUACCCCCGUAGUCCCUGUCUCUUAUAA